UACGGGGGGGGCAAGCGUUGUUCGGAAUUACUGGGCGUAAAGGGCCAGUAGGCGGCCAACUAAGUCCGACGUGAAAUCCCAAGGCUUAACCUUGGAACUGCGUCGGAUACUGGAUGGCUUGAAUUCGGGAGAGGGAUGCAGAAUUCCAGGUGUAGCGGUGAAAUGCGUAGAUAUCAGGAGGAACACCGGUGGCGAAGGCGGAUCUCUGGGCCUUACCUGACGCUCAGGUGCGAAAGCUAGGGGAGCGAACAGG
Molecule: ribosomal RNA, 253 nt
Filed under: uncultured bacterium
Lineage: Bacteria
Description: partial 16S ribosomal RNA
Rfam family: Bacterial small subunit ribosomal RNA
Source: RNAcentral